This 254-nucleotide ribosomal RNA is filed under the name uncultured bacterium. RNAcentral's name for it is "partial 16S ribosomal RNA". It matches the Rfam family "Bacterial small subunit ribosomal RNA", at positions 524 to 776 of the family's 1533-position model. The record is from RNAcentral.
GACGGAGGAUGCAAGCGUUAUCCGGAAUGAUUGGGCGUAAAGCGUCCGCAGGUGGCAGUUCAAGUCUGCUGUCAAAGACCGGGGCUUAACUUCGGAAAGGCAGUGGAAACUGAACAGCUAGAGUAUGGUAGGGGCAGAGGGAAUUCCUGGUGUAGCGGUGAAAUGCGUAGAGAUCAGGAAGAACAUCGGUGGCGAAGGCGCUCUGCUGGACCAUAAACUGACACUCAGGGACGAAAGCUAGGGGAGCGAAUGGG